Non-coding RNA from Chelonoidis abingdonii (Abingdon island giant tortoise), 1123 nucleotides. NCBI's taxonomy places the organism in Eukaryota, Metazoa, Chordata, Testudines, Testudinidae. The record is from RefSeq and is a predicted model, not a curated record.
CUCCCCACCUGCCCUCCUUUCUCCCCUGACACUGUCCAUUCAGCAUCCCCAUACACAUUUCCAAAAUGGUGGCUGCUCCAACUGGGCAACCAGUCUCUGUCUCAGGCUAAAGCUCCGGCUAGUGGCCAUUUUUAGGCCCAUGCCAUAGAGUGUAAAUGCCCAUUUACCUAUUUUUGUUUCCCUUUUCCUCACCCAGCAAACACUCCACUCCUCCCCAAAACCUCGUUGGCCAGUUCAUAAUGGUGGCCUGCAGCACGGCACAGCUGCAGCCUCUACCUUGUCCCCUCCUGCAGCAGAACUGAAUAAUGAAAAUGGUAUUUUGUGCAAAAUUCAGAAGUUUAUUGAGCUACUGGUUACAGAAAAAGAAAUUUGGUUUGUAUUCUCAGUGUACAUGAGGUAGACAUGGACACUGCAGACCCAUAAAGUUACAAAGACCACAGCUCCUGCUGAGGUAAUAAACACCCUGUAACACAUUACAGUACAAAAGCUUUACCAUAGGGAUAGCAAAGCUCUUAAUGCCUUUUCACAGGCUCACCCAGGGUGCCUUUACACUGCAACAAAACACCCCGCAGCAGCAAGUCUCAAAGCUUGGGUCAACUGACUCUAGCUUGCAGUGCUCAACCUGUCGGGCUAAAAAUAGCACUGUAGACAUUUGAGUUCAGGCUGGAGCUUAGGCUCUGGGACCCACCCCGCCUUUGCUGGGUUUCAGAGCUUGGGCUCCAGCCCAAGUGGGAACGUCUACAUGGCUAUUUUUAGCCCUGUAGCUUCAGCCCUGCUAACCCAAAACAAUUUGACCCAGUCUUUGAGACUUGCUCCUGCAGGGUGAGGAGGGGGGAAGUAAAGGAGGUGUUGCACUGUAAACAUACCCAUAUAUAACGACUGACAACAGUGAAUGUUUCAGACAAUCAUUGCAGAAUCCAGUUUUUCUUUGCACUUCCACCAUGUCUACAGGGGAGAUAAAGCAAAAUCUAUGACUGAGAAAUUGCUCCACACUUCUCCGACAUUAAUGAGGAACAGCUUCAUGGUUACCCCACAGGAGUAGCUCACAACUCUCUUCCAUUCCUGCAGCACUUCUGGGGAGGACCAUCUUGAUGAAUAUCUGUGUAUCUACUGGGUGUCUGGG